RNAcentral lists this non-coding RNA (180 nucleotides) under Oryzisolibacter propanilivorax. RNAcentral describes it as "6S / SsrS RNA". It matches the Rfam family "6S / SsrS RNA". Rfam says of the family: E. coli 6S RNA was the first non coding RNA to be sequenced, but its function was unknown until recently. It consists of 184 nucleotides that fold into an extended hairpin structure with a large single-stranded internal bulge. The 6S RNA specifically associates with RNA polymerase holoenzyme containing the sigma70 specificity factor. Lineage: Bacteria; Pseudomonadati; Pseudomonadota; Betaproteobacteria; Burkholderiales; Comamonadaceae. The record is from Rfam by way of RNAcentral.
AGGUGUCUGCGGUGCUGCCGGGCUUUAUAGUUCCUUGAACCAAUGCUCUUUGAGCACGGGCUUGGUACAUUGCCUGGCAGGCGUGAUCAUCUCGCGUCAGAUGAACCCAAUGCCACGCUGCCCUUGCCCCCCUGAACCCUCGGUUCAGGAUGACGGCCUGGUGGCACUUGCAGACACCUC